RNAcentral lists this ribosomal RNA (612 nucleotides) under uncultured fungus. Its description in RNAcentral is "LSU rRNA". It matches the Rfam family "Eukaryotic large subunit ribosomal RNA", at positions 23 to 664 of the family's 3401-position model. Lineage: Eukaryota; Fungi. The record is from RNAcentral.
ACCCGCUGAACUUAAGCAUAUCAAUAAGCGGAGGAAAAGAAACCAACAGGGAUUGCCUCAGUAACGGCGAGUGAAGCGGCAACAGCUCAAAUUUGAAAUCUGGCACCCGCCCGAGUUGUAAUUUGCAGAGGAGGCUUUGGAGUCGCCCCGGUCCAAGUUCCUUGGAACAGGACGUCGCAGAGGGUGAGAAUCCCGUACGCGGCCGGAUGGCUUCUCCGUGUAAAGCCCCUUCGACGAGUCGAGUUGUUUGGGAAUGCAGCUCUAAAUGGGAGGUAAAUUUCUUCUAAAGCUAAAUACCGGCCAGAGACCGAUAGCGCACAAGUAGAGUGAUCGAAAGAUGAAAAGCACUUUGAAAAGAGAGUUAAAAAGUACGUGAAAUUGUUGAAAGGGAAGCGUUUGUAGCCAGACUUGGCGGCAGUUGCUCAACCGGUCUUUGCCCGGUGCACUCUUCUGUCGACAGGCCAGCAUCAGUUCGGGCGGCCGGAUAAAGGCAUUGGGAACGUGGCUCCUCGGAGUGUUAUAGCCCUCCGCACAAUGCGGCCAGCCCGGACUGAGGACCGCGAUUCACGGAUGCUGGCUUAAUGGCUGCCAACGGCCCGUCUUGAAACACGG